RNAcentral lists this ribosomal RNA (405 nucleotides) under uncultured bacterium. RNAcentral describes it as "partial 16S ribosomal RNA". It matches the Rfam family "Bacterial small subunit ribosomal RNA", at positions 28 to 526 of the family's 1533-position model. The record is from RNAcentral.
GACGAACGCUGGCGGCGUGCUUAACACAUGCAAGUCGAGCGGAGCGGCGAACGGGCGAGCAACGCGUGAGUAACUGCCCCCCUCUCUGGGGUAACAGUUGGAAACGGCUGCUAAUACCGGAUAGUGGGGGAUGACUCGCGUCCUAUCAGCUUGUUGGUGGGGUAGUGGCCUACCGAGGCGACGACGGGUAGCCGGCCUGAGAGGGCGACCGGCCACAUUUGGCUACGAUACGCCCCAAACUCCUACAGGGGGCAGCAGUGGGGAAUAUUGCACAAUGAGGGAAACCCUGAUGCAGCGACGCCGCGUGCGGGAUGUCGGCCUUCGGGUUGUCAACCGCUUUCAGCCAUGACGCGGUAGUGGCAGAAGAAGCACCGGCUAACUACGUGCCAGCAGCCGCGGUAAUAC